CAAACAAGCACCUUCACCUGUCCUGGUGGAACUAAUUCUCAAGUACACUGUUAGGACAAGUCCACUGUUUCCGUAGAAUAUUGCUCCUCACUUUGUGUAAAUUUUCCACUUUGUGUCUUCCAUUGUGUUUCUAAGAUACCACUCAAUACUUGUCCGUUGUUUUUUCUUCUAAUUCCAAUUCUCUUAUACAUUUUAAUCUAAUAAUUUAAAUUAAUUAUUAGAUAAUGUUCCAAGAUAUCAUACCAUCAUAAAUAAAUAAAAAUAAUAAAAUUCAAAUUUAUAAUUAAUUAACUAUCAAAAUUUUAAUAUUAUAUUAAAAAACUAUUUCAAUCCAAAAACUAUAUAAAUUUUUAGAUUGAUUUUUGACCAUAUAGUUAAAGAGGAACCCACCCCAUGUAGAAAAAGUUGUUUGCAGGCUCUUUGAAAGAGAGCCAUAAGUUCGUGCGUUGGUUCCUGAGUCUACUCUGUGAACCUUCCGCAGCCACCCUCGCGUUGCUGGGGACGAAAAGACUCUCCCACACGAGAGUCUUUACCCCACACGUUAUUCACAUGAAGACGUUUGAUGCCCUUAUUUUCCAUGAAGACUUCUAUCGAGAUAAGAAAUAUGAGUCGUUUUUAUUUUAAAAAAUCUUGAAUUAAUUUAUUUUUUUAUAUGAAAAGUACAUAAGCAUAAAAAAUUUAAAUAAUAUUUGUAUGAAUUAUCAUAUAUGAAAGGUGCAUAGAUAUAUAAGUAGAUUUCAAUAAUAAUAGUAUUUGUAUGGAUUAUAAUUAACUUUAAUCCUUCAAGGUUAAUCUGCCUCAGUUAUCUUCUCUGCGCCUACCAAAAAAAUAAGUGACUUUUAGGAUUUAUUUUUAUAAAAAAUAUUUUUUUAUAAAAUAUUUUAUAAACUUUCUUGUGUUUUUUUAUUAUUAAAAAAAUUGAUCAAAUAAAAAAUAUUUUCUAAUCAAAAAAAAAUUUACAGAUGAAAAAACACUUUUCAAGAAUUGAAAAAUUUUUAAAAAUAUCUUGUUAUUUAUUAAUUAUAUAAAAUUUAGUUUUUAAUCUUUUAAAUUUAUUUAAAAUCUAUAUAUAAGUAUAUAACUCGAAUGAUUAUAUAUGCUUGCUUUAUACAAGCUAGGGUCGAUUCUCCAGGACAAUAAUUAAAGAUAGUGUCCGUGGAUACCAUUCCAUGUCGAGCAUUAAUUACUGACCAUACAAGGUUUGCUCUGGUCAAGAGUUUUUUUUACCUUGUCUUGCGGCUUUGAUUUUUUUUUAAAAAAAAAGAAAAAAGAAAAAAGAAUCUAUUUUAAACAAUAAAAAAACUAUAUUUUUUUAAAUCUAAGAAUUCAAAUCCAAGUGUUUUUCAAUUUAUGAUGAAGAAAUAGAUAAAUUUAGAUAUUUAGAAACUCUAUUAAAUGAUAAUUUUCAUUUAAUACUGAUGUUCAUCUCUCUUCUCCAUCAUUUAUUUCUUUUAUUUUUAAUUAUUUUUUACUUUUCAAAAUCUAUAGCUCAAAUUAAUUAACAUUUUUCUUUAAAAGCAAGAUGACUUAGGGAUAUCUAAAAAUACAAUUUUGAAAAAAAGAGAAUUAUAAUUUUUUUCUACUAUUCUCUGUCCCUCUCUUACACCCACUCUUGAAGGAUACAAAAUAUACUCAGAGCUUGCUUGGGAAGGCGGCAGGUUACGAGUUCUCAAAAUUUUUUAAUUUGUUUUAUUUAAAAUUAUUUUGUUAUAUUUUUAGAUUGUUUUGAUAUAAUGACAUUAAAAAUAAUUUUUUUAAAAUAAAAAAUAUUAUUUAAAUAUAUUUUUUAGUAAAAUAAAAUAUUUUAAAAAAUUAUUAUUAUUACAGUAACAAACACCAUCUAAAAUAACUGUUUUUAUAGAGGGAUCUAAUGUAUUUUACGUCAUCUAUAAUAAUACAUCAUUUACAGAGGGACAUGGCCACACACUAGUUUCAAUCUCACCCCCCUGUCUUGUAGACCAAUGCAAAUGCUGAAAGCUUUGACGUUAGAUUUUGAUUUUUUCCUCCCUUCCAGAACAGUUUGAUUCUUCUUUCUUGGUAGAUGCUAUUCUUCAAUUUUUCUAAGUUUUUGUACAUUGCUCUUGAUCCAACGGCACUAGCAAACUGUGACACUUCUCCUAUAAAAGCAGUCCUAAGCCCUCACAAAUAAUCACAACACACCAGCUUUCUCAAUCCAUAUUUCUUCACUAUGAGUCGUUUUUCUUACUUAUCGUUGUUUCCCUGCUUCCUUCUUUUUGCCCAUUUCUUCACCUUAAGCAACGCAGCUACUUUCGAGAUCAGAAACCAAUGCUCUUACACUGUCUGGGCCGCGGCUGUUCCCGGUGGUGGCCGAAGACUUGACCCAGGCCAGUCAUGGACCAUCACCGCGAAUGCCGGAACAACACAGGCCCGUAUUUGGGGACGGACCAAGUGCAAUUUUGAUGGGGCCGGACGAGGGACGUGCGAGACUGGUGAUUGCAACGGGCUCUUGCAAUGCCAAGCCUUCGGGCAACCCCCUAACACACUGGCUGAAUAUGCAUUGAACCAAUUCCAGACUUGGAUUUCUUCGACAUAUCUCUUGUUGAUGGAUUUAAUGUUCCUAUGGACUUCAGUCCAGUAUCAGGCAACUGCGUGGAAUUAGGUGCGCAGCUGAUAUCAAUGGACAGUGCCCGAAUCAGCUCAGGGCCAGCGGAGGCUGCAACAAUCCUUGCACUGUCUUCAAGACAGAUCAAUACUGUUGCAAUUCUGGCAACUGUGGCCCAACAGAUUACUCAGGUUUUUCAAGCAGAGGUGCCCUGACGCUUAUAGUUAUCCUAAAGAUGACCAAACAAGCACCUUCACCUGUCCCGGUGGAACUAAUUACAGGGUUGUAUUCUGCCCUUGAAGCAGUUUUAAGCCAGGAAUAAUGGUGUAAAAUGAGAAUAAGGACCAUUGCUCGAUUCACUUCUGACGGUGUGAAUUGCUGCAAGGUCACAUGCUUUAUUAUAAUGAAAAUCUACUACAAUAUUAACAGUGGCAAGACCCUUUAUUUGCUCUAGCUGUUAAAUACCCAGACAAAGUGUGUUCAUGCUUUCGGAGCAUAUCCAGCCCAGAAGCACUUUCUUCAUUUCUAACCAUGGAAACUACAAAAUACAACUAUGCUGCAAGAAAUUACCUUAAAUAAAACGAUUUAAGUACUGCUCAUGUUUGUUAGCUUCUUC
This 3179-nucleotide long non-coding RNA is filed under the name Populus tremula. RNAcentral describes it as "long non-coding RNA (PTRE_LNC001498)". Lineage: Eukaryota; Viridiplantae; Streptophyta; Magnoliopsida; Malpighiales; Salicaceae. The record is from RNAcentral.